AGGAGCGCCUCUGCCCGGCCACCCAUCGUCUGGGAUGUGAGGAGCGCCUCUGCCCGGCCACCCAUCGUCUGGGAUGUGGGGAGCGCCUCUGCCCGGCCGCCCCGUCUGGGAAGUGAGGAGU
Long non-coding RNA from Nomascus leucogenys (northern white-cheeked gibbon), 121 nucleotides. RefSeq lists it as uncharacterized. NCBI's taxonomy places the organism in Eukaryota, Metazoa, Chordata, Mammalia, Primates, Hylobatidae. The record is from RefSeq and is a predicted model, not a curated record. The transcript has 3 exons.